RNAcentral lists this ribosomal RNA (506 nucleotides) under uncultured bacterium. RNAcentral describes it as "partial 16S ribosomal RNA". It matches the Rfam family "Bacterial small subunit ribosomal RNA", at positions 29 to 523 of the family's 1533-position model. The record is from RNAcentral.
AGUGAACGCUGGCGGUAGGCCUAACACAUGCAAGUCGAACGGCAGCACAGGAGAGCUUGCUCUCUGGGUGGCGAGUGGCGGACGGGUGAGGAAUACAUCGGAAUCUACUUUUUCGUGGGGGAUAACGUAGGGAAACUUACGCUAAUACCGCAUACGACCUACGGGUGAAAGCAGGGGACCUUCGGGCCUUGCGCGAUUGAAUGAGCCGAUGUCGGAUGAGCUAGUUGGCGGGGUAAAGGCCCACCAAGGCGACGAUCCGUAGCUGGUCUGAGAGGAUGAUCAGCCACACUGGAACUGAGACACGGUCCAGACUCCUACGGGUGGCAGCAGUGGGGAAUAUUGGACAAUGGGCGCAAGCCUGAUCCAGCCAUACCGCGUGGGUGAAGAAGGCCUUCAGGUUGUAAAGCCCUUUUGUUGGGAAAGAAAUCCAGCUGGCUAAUACCCGGUUGGGAUGACGGUACCCAAAGAAUAAGCACCGGCUAACUUCGUGCCAGCAGCCGCCGCAG